CCUACGGGGGACAGCAGUGGGGAAUAUUGGUCAAUGGGGGGAACCCUGAUCCAGCGACGCCGCGUGCGUGAAGAAGUAUUUCGGGUUGUAAACUUCUUUUUUCAGGGACGUAGCAAGUGAUGGUACUUGAUGAUUAAGCCACGGCUAACUACGUGCCAGCAGCCGCGGUAAUACGUCGGUGGCAAGCGUUAUCCGGAUUUACUGGGUGUAAAGGGCGUGUAGGCGGGAGUGCAAGUCAGAUGUGAAAACUAUGGGCUCAACCCAUAGCCUGCAUUUGAAACUGUACUGCUUGAGUGCUGGAGAAGCAAGCGGAAUUCCGUGUGUAGCGGUGAAAUGCGUAGAUAUACGGAGGAACACCAGUGGCGAAGGCGGAUUGCUGGAGAGUAACUGACGCUGAGGCGCGAAAGCGUGGGGAGCAAACAGGAUUAGAUACCCUAGUAGUC
This 443-nucleotide ribosomal RNA is filed under the name uncultured bacterium. Its description in RNAcentral is "partial 16S ribosomal RNA". It matches the Rfam family "Bacterial small subunit ribosomal RNA", at positions 338 to 795 of the family's 1533-position model. The record is from RNAcentral.